Molecule: long non-coding RNA, 817 nt
Organism: Cyprinus carpio (common carp)
Lineage: Eukaryota; Metazoa; Chordata; Actinopteri; Cypriniformes; Cyprinidae
Source: Ensembl
CUUACUGCUGUGCCAAGCUGAAAGUUGGUACGGAGAACUGUGUAUUUUGAAAAAGUGACCUAAGUAUUGAGAAUCUAUCGUAGCAAUUGUAAAAACCUGUAACAUUCUUUUUUUUUUAUUUAAACAAUUGUUUUCAACAAGUCAAAACAACGGAAAAAUGUUCCUCCCCAAGUUAACAUGUAAUUUUAUGCUUCAGCUACUAGACAAACAUAAAUAACAUGGAGUAGAUUCAAAAUUUGAACCUGGAAGACACUGGAAAAGCAGCAUUGCAUCUCUCUCUUUAGCGUCUCGUGUUUGAAGCAAACUAAAUUAACCCAUUAGCAGAGCUGUCACAUGGAUGUUUGAACAUGGUGUCCUUUGGCACAGCAGGCACUGGCUUGCCCUUGUGUCACACUCAACUCACCAGGGGCUGGAUUGUGUCUGCUGAGGGGCACUUCUGCCAGCUGCCCAUGUCACACCUCCUCGUUUGCCAUGCUAUUUGAGUGCUUAACAUACAACAUGUGAAUCAGUGGCGUUGGCUUAUUUAUCUGUUUGAAAUUUCAGAGACAAUUGCUUUCUCACCCUGAUGGGAGCUGUGCCGAUGCAAACCAGUUAGUUAGAUUCCCACUCCACUCCAACAAGUGAAAUCUGGCAACUGGUCUAUCAAUCUACCAUGCGGAAUGUUUUGGAGUCUCCAAAACGAGAAUUCAACCCUCAGAGGAAGCGUAAAGAGAAAAGAUGUGUUUCUUGGCUGCAUGAAGGUCGGUCAUAAACACAUCCUGGCAGGGAUUCCAGUUAUUCCUAUCAGAGAGGAAACAGAAGCUUUCAUAGGAAGGCC